UCUGGGAAACUGCCUGAUGGAGGGGGAUAACUACUGGAAACGGUAGCUAAUACCGCAUAACGUCGCAAGACCAAAGAGGGGGACCUUCGGGCCUCUUGCCAUCGGAUGUGCCCAGAUGGGAUUAGCUAGUAGGUGGGGUAACGGCUCACCUAGGCGACGAUCCCUAGCUGGUCUGAGAGGAUGACCAGCCACACUGGAACUGAGACACGGUCCAGACUCCUACGGGAGGCAGCAGUGGGGAAUAUUGCACAAUGGGCGCAAGCCUGAUGCAGCCAUGCCGCGUGUAUGAAGAAGGCCUUCGGGUUGUAAAGUACUUUCAGCGGGGAGGAAGGGAGUAAAGUUAAUACCUUUGCUCAUUGACGUUACCCGCAGAAGAAGCACCGGCUAACUCCGUGCCAGCAGCCGCGGUAAUACGGAGGGUGCAAGCGUUAAUCGGAAUUACUGGGCGUAAAGCGCACGCAGGCGGUUUGUUAAGUCAGAUGUGAAAUCCCCGGGCUCAACCUGGGAACUGCAUCUGAUACUGGCAAGCUUGAGUCUCGUAGAGGGGGGUAGAAUUCCAGGUGUAGCGGUGAAAUGCGUAGAGAUCUGGAGGAAUACCGGUGGCGAAGGCGGCCCCCUGGACGAAGACUGACGCUCAGGUGCGAAA
Molecule: ribosomal RNA, 646 nt
Filed under: Escherichia coli
Lineage: Bacteria; Pseudomonadati; Pseudomonadota; Gammaproteobacteria; Enterobacterales; Enterobacteriaceae
Description: bacterial SSU rRNA
Rfam family: Bacterial small subunit ribosomal RNA
Source: RNAcentral